This 368-nucleotide ribosomal RNA is filed under the name uncultured organism. RNAcentral's name for it is "bacterial SSU rRNA". It matches the Rfam family "Bacterial small subunit ribosomal RNA", at positions 526 to 896 of the family's 1533-position model. The record is from RNAcentral.
CGAGGGGUGCAAGCGUUAUCCGGAUUCACUGGGUUUAAAGGGUGCGUAGGUGGGCAGGUAAGUCAGUGGUGAAAUCUCCGGGCUUAACCCGGAAACUGCCAUUGAUACUAUCUGUCUUGAAUACCCUGGAGGUGAGCGGAAUAUGUCAUGUAGCGGUGAAAUGCUUAGAUAUGACAUAGAACACCCAUUGCGAAGGCAGCUCACUACGGGAAUAUUGACACUGAGGCACGAAAGCGUGGGGAUCAAACAGGAUUAGAUACCCUGGUAGUCCACGCCCUAAACUAUGGAUACUCGACAUCAGCGAUAAACUGUUGGUGUCUGAGCGAAAGCAUUAAGUAUCCCACCUGGGAAGUACGAUCGCAAGAUUG